This is a long non-coding RNA of Neogale vison (American mink), 591 nucleotides long. RefSeq lists it as uncharacterized. The transcript has 3 exons. NCBI's taxonomy places the organism in Eukaryota, Metazoa, Chordata, Mammalia, Carnivora, Mustelidae. The record is from RefSeq and is a predicted model, not a curated record.
UUUUCCUAAACUUGUGCUGCCAGCUCAAAGAUUUCUCCGCUCAUUCACCUGGGAGAUCUGGCAAAAAAGCAUGGAAGAUUCAUCAUCAAAUUAAAACUACUGUCGAUGGCUUGGAGAUGGGGACUUCUGCUGUAGGCUUGGAAUGAAGGCAUUCUUCCUUGUCAAGUCCUGGUAAUUAUUUUUCACCAUAAAUAAGCACAGAGCCCUUUUCAGCUAUGCAUCACCGAGUAACUGUCAGAAGACAAGUGCCAUGACAAGAAAUGUCCCUCCUUAAAAUGAUUUAUUUAUUUCUACCCAAAGACACCUUGUGGAGGGGAGAGGUUGACAUGAAGUCUUUCCGCUUCACGGAGUGUAAAGAAGAACAAUCUCUCUGAUGAGAAUCCCGAUACUCAAAGAGUCUUUCUUCAGAGUGUCUCCCUUCCUUCUGAUUGCUGUCCCAUGGACACUCGUACUUCAGCAUCAUGACGAAAGGAGCAAGUCUUUUCUUCUAAGUUAAGGACAUGCUAUGUUUUACUGGAUAUGGUUUAAUCAGCUGUUUUGGUUUUUUUUUUUUUUUGAGAUUUUAUUUACUUGUUUGACAGAGACACAGCA